AGCUUCGAUCGACAAUGGCGUAUUGGGUUUGUAUUUCCUUUCUCAUUUGCAUUCUCUUUGUUUCAUCGUUGAAUGGAUACAUCUCUUAUGACGGAGUUUCUCAGGAAGUCCGGCGGUGCCGCCGUUAUCGACGGCGGACUCGCCACAGAGCUCGAACGCCAUGGCGCGGACCUCAACGAUCCUCUAUGGAGCGCCAAAUGCCUUCUCACUUCCCCUCACCUUAUUCGUGGGGUUCAUGGAUUUGCUGAAGAUCUUAUGGGGAAAAAAGUUGCUACAAUAUUUGGAAAGUGGGAUGAAAGCAUGUAUUAUGUUAAUGGUGACAGGGGCAACAAUAUGUAUUAUGUCUUUCUAUUUUAUAUAUCCUACGGAUUCCAGGCUUAGACCAGACCAACGACAUUUGGAGAAUGGAGAAUAUGAGAAGGCAAAUGCUGAGAAACAACGUUUAGAGAAAAAGCAAAGAAUGUCAAGGAAAUUACAAGAAAGUGGAUGGAAACCAAAAUAGUUCGAAAGAGGAAGUGAAGAUGGACCUUUCCGCUACAUGGGUCGGUAGUCCUUACUAUGUCGUCCCAAAAGUGUUACGGAAGCAUUAUGCUCCAGAAUGUGAUGUUUGGAGCGCUGGGGUAAUCAUUUAUAUUUUACAUAGUGGAGUGCCCCCAUUUUGGGAUGAAUUGGAGCAAGGAAUAUUUGAGCAGGUUUUAAGGGGAGAACUCGAUUUUAUCUCUGAACCAUGGCCUAGCAUAUCUGAAAGUGCAAAAGAUCUUGUUCGAAGAAUGCUUGUAAGGGACCCUAAGAAGCGGCUUACGGUCCAUGAAGUUCUUAGUAAGUUAAUGGUCUUGAUUGAUUAUUAUGUCAGGUGACUUAAUUUGUUUAGCAUCCAUAGUCAUACAUUUUAUUUUUCUAUUGUAUAGAUGCAUCUUUUUAGUCUAAAUAAGCAAUAUCAUUUGACACUGGCAUGAUCUGGAGCUUUUUUUUUUUUUAUCAUAAAGUAAAAGAAAUAUACAAUAUGAAUUGUUUUAUGAUCUAGAGUUCUGACCCUCCUUUUUAAAAAUUCUAAUGGUAUAAACUAGAAUGUGGUGAUUUGAGCAUUAGUAGUAGCUUUUCCCAUUUAAAAUAUGACGACCUAUAGUUUUUUUUUUCAUUCCAAAUAAUAUGUUCUUCUAACUUAAAACUAGGCUUCACAUAUUUGUUUUAAUGCUUCUAUUAUGUCGUAGGCCACCCUUGGGUUCAAGUUGGUGGUGUUGCUCCUGACAAACCUCUUGAUUCCGCUGUUUAAUCGCGCUUGAAACAAUUCUCUACUAUGAACAAGCUGAAGAAAAUAGCCAUUAGGGUGAGUAUUUAUCAGUCAACUAAACUAUAUAAUUAUAGCAGUUUAAGGUGUGUACAUAAGGUUAAUCAUUCAUUAAAUUACUAUUGGUUAGCUUUUUUAUUUCCAUUUAUAUUUAUUGCAAAGCACAAGCAUGUAUUGCAAUUAAGGUACGAUUAUUAUACUACGAUCCAUGUCCAUAGAGAAAAAAUGUACAUUUUGAUUAUGUUUAGGGUAUUCUGUUCUUUAGUGCAUGACUUGCAAUUGUUGUCCAUAGAUGUCGAUAAUAGUGGACAGAUCACUCUUGAGGAACUAAAGAAUGGUUUGGAAAAGGUAGAUGCAAAUCUCAAGGAUUCCGAAAUAAGUGGACUAAUGCAAGCGGUAAGUAAUGAUUCUGAGUAAUGAUUCUGAUUCAGGGAACUGUAAUAAGGCUUGUAAAAAUUGUAUAAUCAAUCUUGUUUGCUAUUUAUUGAAACCUA
Long non-coding RNA from Cannabis sativa, 1782 nucleotides. RefSeq lists it as uncharacterized. The transcript has 4 exons. NCBI's taxonomy places the organism in Eukaryota, Viridiplantae, Streptophyta, Magnoliopsida, Rosales, Cannabaceae. The record is from RefSeq and is a predicted model, not a curated record.